CCUACGGGAGACAGCAGUGAGGAAUAUUGGUCAAUGGGCGUAAGCCUGAACCAGCCAAGUCGCGUGAGGGAUGAAGGUUCUAUGGAUCGUAAACCUCUUUUAUAAGGGAAUAAAGUGCGGGACGUGUCCCGUUUUGUAUGUACCUUAUGACUAAGGAUCGGCUAACUCCGUGCCAGCAGCCGCGGUAAUACGGAGGAUCCGAGCGUUAUCCGGAUUUAUUGGGUUUAAAGGGUGCGUAGGCGGCCCUUUAAGUCAGCGGUGAAAGUCUGUGGCUCAACCAUAGAAUUGCCGUUGAAACUGGGAGGCUUGAGUAUGUGUGAGGCAGGCGGAAUGCGUGGUGUAGCGGUGAAAUGCUUAGAUAUCACGCAGAACCCCGAUUGCGAAGGCAGCCUACCAAGCCAUGACUGACGCUGAUGCACGAAAGCGUGGGGAUCAAACAGGAUUAGAUACCCGAGUAGUC
RNAcentral lists this ribosomal RNA (460 nucleotides) under uncultured bacterium. RNAcentral describes it as "partial 16S ribosomal RNA". It matches the Rfam family "Bacterial small subunit ribosomal RNA", at positions 338 to 795 of the family's 1533-position model. The record is from RNAcentral.